CCUUCGAUAGCUCAGUUGGUAGAGCGGAGGACUGUAGGUACUUACACUGGUCAUCCUCAGGUCGCUGGUUCGAAUUCGGCUUGAAGGA
This 88-nucleotide transfer RNA is filed under the name Ameiurus melas (black bullhead). It matches the Rfam family "tRNA". From Rfam's summary of the family: Transfer RNA (tRNA) molecules are approximately 80 nucleotides in length. Their secondary structure includes four short double-helical elements and three loops (D, anti-codon, and T loops). The record is from Rfam by way of RNAcentral. Lineage: Eukaryota; Metazoa; Chordata; Actinopteri; Siluriformes; Ictaluridae.